GAGAUGAGAUCAAUGUUUGGACAU
This 24-nucleotide microRNA is filed under the name Solanum tuberosum (potato). Its description in RNAcentral is "stu-miR1886g-5p". The record is from miRBase by way of RNAcentral. Lineage: Eukaryota; Viridiplantae; Streptophyta; Magnoliopsida; Solanales; Solanaceae.